RNAcentral lists this ribosomal RNA (497 nucleotides) under uncultured bacterium. RNAcentral's name for it is "partial 16S ribosomal RNA". It matches the Rfam family "Bacterial small subunit ribosomal RNA", at positions 28 to 507 of the family's 1533-position model. The record is from RNAcentral.
GAUGAACGCUGGCGGCGUGCCUAAUACAUGCAAGUCGAGCGAACAGGUGAGGAGCUUGCUCCUCUGACGUUAGCGGAGGAGGGGUGAGUAACGCGUGGAUAACCUACCUAUAAGACUGGGAUAACCUCGGGAAACCGGAGCUAAUCCCGUAGAAUAUAUUGAACCACAGGGUUCGAUAGUAAAAGACGGCGUUGCUGUCACUAAUAGAUGGAUCUGCGCCGCAUUGGCUAGUUGGUAAGUUACCGGCUUACGAAGGCAACGAGGCGUAGCCGACCUGAGAGGCGGAUCGGCCACACGAGAGGGUGGACACGGUCAAUGGUCCUACGGUACGGAGCAGACGGGUACCUGACGCAGUGGGGGAAAACCUUGCGGAGUAACGCCACGUGAGUGAUAAAGGUCUUCGGUUCGGAAAGCCCGGCUAUUGGUGAAAAACAGAUGUGUAAGUAAACGAGCACUGCUUGACGGUACCGAAUCAGAAAGCCACGGCUAACUACGUG